Molecule: transfer-messenger RNA, 350 nt
Filed under: Candidatus Aminicenantota bacterium
Lineage: Bacteria; Candidatus Aminicenantota
Also listed under: 1 other name
Description: Candidatus Aminicenantes bacterium (hot springs metagenome) transfer-messenger RNA
Rfam family: transfer-messenger RNA
About the family: Bacterial tmRNA, also known as 10Sa RNA or SsrA, is named for its dual tRNA and mRNA-like properties. Its role is to liberate the mRNA from a stalled ribosome.
Source: RNAcentral
GGGGGCGAAAGGAUUCGACGGAGGUCAUGAGGCGCAGGUGGCAUGCCGAGAUCCCAUCAACCUCGUUAAACGGUGGGCCAAAUAAGUGCAGAAGCACUCCCUGUUGCUGCCUAAGAAUUAGGCAAGCCGUCUUUCAGGUUCUGGCCUGUGGGACCUGAACAGGCGUCGGAAAACAGGCUGGCCAACCUGGUUCGCCCUGAGCCAGGAAGGCGAGAGACGAUCAGGGCUGGCGGCCUGCGAGCUUGCCUCUUCGGCUUUCAGGCCGCGAGAAAAAAAGAAGAGGCUGAGCAUGGAGGACACCUGGCGCUGAAGAUCUUCGGACGCGGGUUCGAUUCCCGCCGCCUCCACCA